UUGGAGGGCAAGUCUGGUGCCAGCAGCCGCGGUAAUUCCAGCUCCAAUAGCGGAUAUUAAAGUUGCUGCAGUUAAAAAGCUCGUAGUUGAAUUUCGGGACUAAUAUGUCGGUCGUACUUUGUACGUACUAGCAUUAUUGGUUUCUCCCUUCUGACGAACCACGAUGUCAUUAAUUUGGUGUCGUGGGAAAUCAGGACUGUUACUUUGAAAAAAUUAGAGUGUUUAAAGCAAGCUCGCGCUUGAAUACAUUAGCAUGGAAUAAUGAAAUAGGACGUUUGAUUCUAUUUUGUUGGUUUCUAGGAUCGACGUAAUGAUUAAUAGGGAUAGUUGGGGGCAUUAGUAUUCAAUUGUCAGAGGUGAAAUUCUUGGAUUUAUUGAAGACUAACCACUGCGAAAGCAUUUGCCAAGGAUGUUUUCAUUAAUCAAGAACGAAAGUUAGGGGAUCGAAGACGAUCAGAUACCGUCGUAGUCUUAACCAUAAACUAUGCCGACUAGGGAUCGGAUGAUGUUAAUUUUUUAAUGACUCAUUCGGCGCCUUACGGGAAAC
This 547-nucleotide ribosomal RNA is filed under the name uncultured Glomeromycotina. RNAcentral's name for it is "SSU rRNA". It matches the Rfam family "Eukaryotic small subunit ribosomal RNA", at positions 548 to 1098 of the family's 1831-position model. Lineage: Eukaryota; Fungi; Glomeromycota. The record is from RNAcentral.